This 389-nucleotide ribosomal RNA is filed under the name uncultured soil bacterium. RNAcentral describes it as "bacterial SSU rRNA". It matches the Rfam family "Bacterial small subunit ribosomal RNA", at positions 26 to 418 of the family's 1533-position model. The record is from RNAcentral.
AGAUUGAACGCUAGCGGGAUGCUUUACACAUGCAAGUCGAACGGCAGCGCGGACUUCGGUCUGGCGGCGAGUGGCGAACGGGUGAGUAAUAUAUCGGAACGUGCCCAGUAGCGGGGGAUAACUACGCGAAAGCGUGGCUAAUACCGCAUACGCCCUACGGGGGAAAGGGGGGAUUCUUCGGAACCUCUCACUAUUGGAGCGGCCGAUAUCAGAUUAGCUAGUUGGUGAGGUAAAGGCUCACCAAGGCGACGAUCUGUAGCUGGUUUGAGAGGACGACCAGCCACACUGGGACUGAGACACGGCCCAGACUCCUACGGGAGGCAGCAGUGGGGAAUUUGGACAAUGGGGGAAACCUGAUCCAGCCAUCCCGCGUGUGCGAUGAAGGCCUU